CAAGCUAUCACUUACUGUUGAUUGUGAUGAAAUGCCAGGUGAGGCAUAAGCCCUGUGAGCUUAGAGUUGCUACACUUGACCACUGUGGCAGUCAAGAUGACUCUGAAGAAUGGCAUGGGAUGGAUCCUUUUGAAUGCACUUGAGCAGGGAACUCCAACCACAGGGUCACAGAGCCGGAGCUGGAUCUACCAUGAAAGACUUCAGAGUCCAGGAAGAGAGACUGACUGGGCAACAUGUUAUUCAGGAGAUGGCGUCUCACCCUGUCACCCAGGCUGGAGUGCAG
Molecule: long non-coding RNA, 283 nt
Filed under: Homo sapiens (human)
Lineage: Eukaryota; Metazoa; Chordata; Mammalia; Primates; Hominidae
Description: HSALNT0362742
Source: RNAcentral